This 263-nucleotide ribosomal RNA is filed under the name uncultured archaeon. Its description in RNAcentral is "partial 16S ribosomal RNA". It matches the Rfam family "Archaeal small subunit ribosomal RNA", at positions 717 to 982 of the family's 1478-position model. The record is from RNAcentral.
ACGUCUACAUUAGAUACCCCGGUAGUCCUAGCCGUAAACGAUACUCGCUAGGUGUCGGCCACGGUGCGACCGUUGUCGGUGCCGUAGUGAAGCCGUGAAGCGAGCCACCUGGGAAGUACGGCCGCAAGGCUGAAACUUAAAGGAAUUGGCGGGGGAGCACAACAACGGGUGGAGCUUGCGGUUUAAUUGGAUUCAACGCCGGAAAUCUUACCGGGACCGACAGCAACAUGAAGGCCAAGCUGAAGACUUUGCCGGAUUAGCUG